GUUAAGUAUCCAGCGCACUAUGAUGCAAGUUCGAGAGAAAUUAAAGAAAUUACGGGCACAGUAUAAAGUCAUAAAAACACACAAUUGACAAAGCGGUGCCCAGAGAAGGUGAUUGCAUAUUUGUAUGUUUUCUUACCAGUAAGUAAUUAUAGCUAAAUGUAUGUUUAUUGUAGAGAGACACGAUGGUCCCCAAGACAUUACAGUGAACAGAGGGGGAUCACAUCGCUUUCCACAAAGGACCAGAACAGAAAGUUGAAAACGUAAAGCUGCUAAUUUGGCAUCAAGGAAAUUUUUGCAGUGUAUGCGUGACAUAACACAGCAACAGCUGGAAGAAGAGCGGGAGUUGAGAAGGGAAGAAAUGAACAAAGACAUGAUGAUGAGAAGAGAGGAGCUGGAUUAUGAGGCACGACUCAGAUGUGAAGAGAUGUCUCAGAGAGAGAAGGAAGCAGAUGCUUUUGCUUCUGUCUUUGCACAUUUGGCAGCAGCUCUACAAAAAAAGUAGAUGAACACUGCACUUGUUUUGUGUUCUGUAAAGCAAACCUAUUCAUAUUACUUGUUUCUUAUUUAAAAUGUUUCUUUUAAAUAUUUUUUUGUCUAAAUACUAUAUUGCACAAACACCUGUUUGUUGUGUAUGCACAUUUUCAAAGCACCUUUGUAUUUAUUCGCUGAUACAAAUUUCAUAUAUAAAUAAAGUUAUACGUUUGCUGUUUU
This is a long non-coding RNA of Carassius auratus (goldfish), 711 nucleotides long. RefSeq lists it as uncharacterized. The record is from RefSeq and is a predicted model, not a curated record. The transcript has 2 exons. Lineage: Eukaryota; Metazoa; Chordata; Actinopteri; Cypriniformes; Cyprinidae.